This 90-nucleotide transfer RNA is filed under the name Bacillota bacterium. RNAcentral describes it as "tRNA-Ser". It matches the Rfam family "tRNA". Rfam says of the family: Transfer RNA (tRNA) molecules are approximately 80 nucleotides in length. Their secondary structure includes four short double-helical elements and three loops (D, anti-codon, and T loops). Further hydrogen bonds mediate the characteristic L-shaped molecular structure. tRNAs have two regions of fundamental functional importance: the anti-codon, which is responsible for specific mRNA codon recognition, and the 3' end, to which the tRNAs corresponding amino acid is attached (by aminoacyl-tRNA synthetases). tRNAs cope with the degeneracy of the genetic code in two manners: having more than one tRNA (with a specific anti-codon) for a particular amino acid; and 'wobble' base-pairing, i.e. permitting non-standard base-pairing at the 3rd anti-codon position. RNAcentral also lists the same sequence under 1 other name. Lineage: Bacteria; Bacillati; Bacillota. The record is from RNAcentral.
GGAGGGAUGUCCGAGCGGCUGAAGGAGCACGCCUGGAGAGCGUGUAGACGCGUAAGCGUCUCGUGGGUUCAAAUCCCACUCCCUCCGCCA